Long non-coding RNA from Arachis duranensis, 4544 nucleotides. RefSeq lists it as uncharacterized. The transcript has 5 exons. NCBI's taxonomy places the organism in Eukaryota, Viridiplantae, Streptophyta, Magnoliopsida, Fabales, Fabaceae. The record is from RefSeq and is a predicted model, not a curated record.
UUUCACAAAACACCCCCAUCCUUCAUCGGCGGCACUCCUCGCCCAUCCCCUCCAAAUUCUUCAUCAGCGAUGACUCUCGCCCUUGCACUGCCGUUGCCCGAAGCUCCAUCACAGCCCUUUCUCAAUCUUUCUGUCACACCCGUUCCCCAAUCUCUCUCUUUCAGUUUCGACACCGAUGAAUUUUGUCACCCUCUCGACGCCGUUUUCUAUCCCGUCCAAUUACAUUGAUUCUCUUGCAACUGUAUCUAUUCUGUUCUCAAAACAAUUUAGGGUUUUAUUACAGAGAUAGAGAUGGCAAGCUUUAUGUGAAAGAACUCCAACUUGCUGAUUUUGAUCAAAUCUAUUCUGAAGUACCUCCUUUCAUUCUUUUCUUCCUUGUUUUUUCACUAUGAAUUUGCAAAAGGAGAGGAGAUUGUCUCUUCUAUCAUCAAGGAUGAGAAAUCUAGAUUCCAUCUUAAUACGACUGCUGAACUUCUCAAGUGUGUGCUAGCAUAACUAGAUUGACUCUACUCUGCUUUAUUAUGAUUUUGUCAAUGUUCUGUUCAUUUUAUGUAAUUCUAUUAUAAAAAUCUUCAAAGUUUUCUUCAAUUGGAUCUCGUUUCAAGUUACAACUUCGAUCUUUGAUGGAAACCUUAAAUUCAACAGAACCUCAUUACAUCAGAUGUGUCAGGCCAAACAAUGUUCUCAAGCCCGCUAUUUUUGGAAAUCUCAAUAUCAACCAACAAUUGCGAUGUGGUCUGUGAUGACAAAGUUGCUUGCCAAAUGAUACUAGAUAAGAUGGGUAUGAAAGACUAUCAGAUAGGCAAGACAAAAAUUUUCCUAAGAGCUAGUCAAAUGGGUGAGUUGGAUGCAAGAAGAGCAGAGGUUCUUGGAAAGCCAACUAGAGUCCUUCAAAGGCAAAUACAUACACAUAUUGCAUGCAAGGAAUCCAAAUAGUUGCGUAUUGCGAGGUACCCUGUAUUCUCUCUAAAUAUACUUGUUUAGUAGUUCAUAACCUUAAUUAGUCCCUUGUAAGUACAAGCUUUUUUUCUUAGUAGAUAUUAUAUAGACACAUCCUUUGUAAGGGUUCAUUUAUCUUUCAGUACUGAUACUAGAUUGGCAAACUUUAAGAUGUCUCCUUUAUGCUAAUCUUCCUAAUAAUUAGAACCUUAAUGGUGGAAAGCAAUUAUAUGUCUAGCUUUUCGAAAGUAAAUUUCUUUUUCAUUAUGGGUUGGCUAUGUUAAGUUUCUAUUCUUGAAUUUAUAUAUUCAUCUGGUUCUUUUCAAUGAUAAAUAGGAAUAUUGGCCUAAAAGCUCUAUAAGCAGUUACGUCGUGAAGCAGCAGCUCUGAAAAUAGAAAAGAACUUCAAAGGAUACAUUGCUAGAAAACCUUUCUUAAGUGUAUGAUCGUCUGCAAUAAUAAUACGGACAGGUUUAAAGGCUAUGAAGGCUCGUGAUGAAUUUAGAUUUAGAAAGCAAAUAAAGGCUUUAAUUCAUAUCUGGGUUCUACUUUUUAUAUUCAUACUUUAUAGGUUAUAGACUUUCAGUUAAGAAAAUGGAAAGAUACAAUUCCUACUUUCUUAUUUGCCCUGCUAUAAUGAUCUUUUUGUCAAUAUCUUCAGGCUAAUUUGUGUUGUCAAAUUGCAUUUUCAUAUUAUAAAAACACUUGUGGAGAACUUGGGUACCUGGCUAGGAAUUGUACAAAACAAUUUGCUAGGUAUUUAACUAGAACUCAAUAACAAAGACGAGUGUUUGCUAUGACUGUAAGAUCUGAGAAAUUUACUUGCCAAUUAUAUAAUUAAAAUUGAGCUAAGAGUGUUUAAUAUGUCCGGUCUGGGUUAAAAGUUUAAAUUUUAUUAUUUAAAAAAUUAUAGAUAAAAUUUGAGCUCAGAAAAUUAUUUGGAGUGCGAAAACAUGAUUAUUUAUGAAAAAAUACAUACUAGUAUCAUAAUUAACUUACACGCUUAGAUCUGUCUAGUAUUGCGUAUGAGAGAAAUAAAAAUAUAAAAAUGACAAUAAAAUAAAAUAAAAAUCGUAACACAUAUCUUUAAAUAUUGGCCCUAGGUAGGGCCAAUGAGUAAAAGGAUAAAAAUGCUCCUCAUUUAAGGAUUCAAGGAUGUGACUCCAUCCCUUAUUUCACACACUUGGGAAAAAUAAGAGGGAGAGCUCGAGAUUGAGAGAGGAGAAAAGGAAACUCCAAAACAAAUACUAUUUACUUUUACUUUCAAAUUCACUUUUCUCAUAAAUCGAAGCUCCGAUCGAUGACCCGUUUGUAGUUAUGCAUCGCUCUCAUCUCCCUCUACGUUGCUAUAUAAUUUUUGCAGUGAGUAAUCUCCAAACUAUACCUUAUUUCUCUAUUCUUCUCAGUUUUUGCAUUUUGGAUAGUGUGGGUAUUGAAAAUUGUGAUUUUAAUGCUUUAGGAGGAGCUCAAACUCAAAUUCUAGCGAGGUUUUAACUCAUGUUCAUGUGAAAUAAGAAUUUAUUGAAGCUUGGAUUAGUCAGGAAUCGAUUGAGGCUUGGAUUGGCCGGAGAGAAAGACUCAAGAGGUUGGGAUCAUCGUCAACUAAGGUACGGGUUUUGGUUUCGGAUAAUCAUUAUGUAAUACUAUGUAAAAUCCUAAGAUAGUUGACAUUAAGAUAUUGUUGAAUUAAUGUUGAUGAUGGUUUAGUGUUUUUGCCUUGCUUAGAUUUGUGAAAUUGGGAUGAUAUUAUUGCUAAGUUAAAUUGCCUAGAUUAUUAAAAAUGAGAAUUGUGAUGGUUAUUUGACAAUUCUUUAGAACUGAGAUUGGUGGUGGUUAAUUGUCUAGAUUGUUGAGAAUGAAUUUUGAUGAAUAUGGUAUUGGAUGAUGUUGUAGGUUGAAUGAAAAUGGUCAGAGACCUUGAUUGAUUGAGUUUCUAUUGCUUGAAAUACAUUGAUGUGUUCUGGUCCAAUUGUUGAAAUUGAAAUUCUUAUAAAGAAUAUGUGAAAUUAAAUUUGGGGUGGUUAUUUAUUCAUUGUUUGGAAAAUUUUAUGAGGAUAAGUUUAAGAAUGAGAUGAGAUUAGGAUUUGAGUGAGCUAUGUAAUGAGGAGUUAGGUGGAAACAAUAGUGAAAUUGAUGAGAAAUAGAAUUAGGUUUUAAUUUGGCAAAGUUGGUAUAGAAUGGAUGUAUAUUGGUGUAAAAUUGGGGAUUUGUUCAAAUGGUGCAAAAAAAUCUGUACUAUGUCAGAUUUUUAGCCGAACUUUGAAGCACUAUAACUUGGUGUUCAGAACUUGAAAAUGAAUGAAAUUUGUGAUGAAAUAAAAUUGGGGAUGUCUAAUUUAAUUUCGUUAAAGAACGAUGUCAAAAUGAGUUUUGGAGAGAAAGUUAUGAUCUUUUGAAUUUUCUUAGUCUCAAAACGAGAUUUUUUUGAGACUAGUGUUGGGUUCCACACGUAUGCACGAUGCCUGAAUAUGCACCAUUCCCUUGAAUAUUACGAAAUGCUGAUUUUGAAUUGUUAAGCCUUUUCCGCAAGCCUGUACCCCUCUAUAACCUGCAUAUGGAGUCUAAUAACCAUUUUAAAAGCUUUGAAUAUGUUGGAGGUGGGCAUAAUGAAUUUUAUUAAAUCAUUCUCAAAUAAAAGACUUGUUAAAUGAGAUAUAAAUAUUGUGAGGAUGGUGAUUUUUUCCGUCUACAGCGAGGAUGGUGGCUUUGUCCCACUCAGAGAUAGACAAGUAAGGUUGAGGAUUCCAUCUCUUAUGUUGUGGUAGACAAGAGGGGUUGAUGAUUCCCUUUCAUGUUGUAUCGGGGAGGGGGGAGAUUGGAUAGAAGGUUGAGGAUUUUCUUCGGUUCAAUUCCCAACUGUGGUUAGGUUGAAGAUUUUCUUUUUGGUUGCAUCACAAUCUAUCUAAUCGUUAAGUGUGGUCGGGCAUUAUAUCUCGAAUAGCACUGCCUCCAAGAGAAGGUAACAGAGCACUCUUCCUACGAGACCAGUUUAUAUACACAUGAGAUAUUGUUCCUCUUGGGGAUGCACAACAGAAAGAGUUGAUGACAUAUCAUCUUAAGUUGUUUUUAGGGUUUUUUUUUUCAUAUGUUUUUUUAAGUUUUCUUAGAUUUUUAAGCAAAUUUCUUAUGUUUAGUGGAUUCUCAUAACUAAUAAAAAUUUUGGAGUUGUGUUAGUAUUAUUGUGUUUUCAAGGUUUUUGGCUGAAAAUAAUUAAGGAUUAAAAGCUUUUUGACAAGAAAAUACACAUACAGUUCAAGAACGGUUUAACCGAGUCCAAACUAGACACCCAAGUAUUCAAACAAGGGAUGCCCGAUGGUCCUCCUCAGCUUAACAUGGACGCCCGGCGGCAGCACAUGCAAGCCCAGCGUCCCCUUCAUGUGAUCAUGCACGCUCGGCAUGCCUUCCUUCUUAACACCCACGCCCGACUUCUCUCAACACAAGCCCGGCGUCCAAGCUUUCUGGAAGUUGCAAUUGGGCCUACGCCCAUAUUCAAGGAUGCAAGCCCCACUCCUAGGAUUCAAUUCUUCACCACUUAACAAGCCCAAAUUCAAUUAUCAAAUCAUUAGAAGCCUUAAAUCUCAUCCGAAGAUUGAAGAUUCAAGAGA